Molecule: unclassified non-coding RNA, 725 nt
Filed under: Hevea brasiliensis (rubber tree)
Lineage: Eukaryota; Viridiplantae; Streptophyta; Magnoliopsida; Malpighiales; Euphorbiaceae
Source: RNAcentral
AAAGAAAUUAAUGGGAUCGGAGCAUUGCUUGAUAUAAAUAUUCACAUGACCAGCUAGCUAGCUAGUUCAAGAGUGGGGCAAAAAGACAGCUGUAUUGAUGAUAAGAGGGAAACUGAAUGAUUUCUAUAGAGUGAUGAUGAUGAUGAUAAUUAAUCAUGAAAUUGCAUGCCCGCAAUGGUGCUGUAAGUGACAGUGAAAAUGGACCCUCUUUGCUUUCUAGUUGGAUUCAGGAUUUGGACCGCUUGGUACUUCAUGUGCAGCUGCUUUAAACUGUUCACCUGAAGCAGAACCCCAAAUUGUAGUUGUAGUAGCAGUAGUAAUAGUAGAAGUGGUAGCAGCAGUAGCAGCCGCAGCAGAAGAAGAAGGAGGAGGUAGUGUAUGCUUUGUUUGCUGUGGAUGCAAUUCUGUGGUGGUAGCGGAUGAGGAAGCCAUGAAUUUCUUGGAGGAGUGAUCAAUAGGGCGACCAAGAAGAGGAGCAACCAAGAGAAGGCCAAGAAACAGCAACAUAGCUUGUGAUUCAGAAACUAGUGCUGAUUUGUAAGCUUGUGCCAUGAAACUAGAACCAGUAGUAAUGACCACCCCCCAGUAAUCCACAAGGGAUCAAUAUCCAUGAACCAAUCGAAACACCGAUGUGUCUAGCAAAAAGAAGAAGCGGAAAAGAAAGGUAAAGAAAAUAAAGUUGUAGAUGGCUAUCUGCAGAGGGAAAAGAAGUUGUAAAAUUCAAG